AUAGCCCGUCAUCCCAGCGAAGGCUGGGAUUUCAGGCACCAGAUCCCAGCCUUCGCUGGGAUGACGAAUUGA
RNAcentral lists this small RNA (72 nucleotides) under Sphingobium indicum. RNAcentral's name for it is "microRNA MIR1846". The record is from RNAcentral. Lineage: Bacteria; Pseudomonadati; Pseudomonadota; Alphaproteobacteria; Sphingomonadales; Sphingobiaceae.